UACGACUACAUAUCAGGCAUAUCAAUAAGCGGAGGAAAAGAAACUAACUAGGAUUCCCUCAGUAACGGCGAGUGAAGCGGGAAGAGCUCAAAUUUGAAAUCUUCAAGGGUUUACCUUUACGAAUUGUAGUUUAAAGAAGUGUUUUCUGUUGGAGUUUCGGUAAAAGUUCUUUGGAAUAGGACAUCAUAGAGGGUGAGAAUCCCGUAUUUGACCAGUUACUUCCAGCUGUUGUGAUACACUUUCAAAGAGUCGGAUUGUUUGGGAAUGCAGUCCAAAAUGGGUGGUAAAUUUCAUCUAAAGCUAAAUAUUGGCGAGAGACCGAUAGCGAACAAGUACCGUGAGGGAAAGAUGAAAAGAACUUUGAAAAGAGAGUUAAACAGUACGUGAAAUUGUCAAAAGGGAAGCGUUUGACACCAGUGUUGUUUUCUCGAAAAUCAAUUAAAAAGUAUUGGAUUUUGUAUUGUCAAGACCUUAUCAGCUUACGGUACUUUUUUCUUGCUCUUUUUAAUGCACUUUUCGUUUCACAAGUCAACAUCAAUUUCUUUUGUUGUAAAAGAGUCAUUGGAAGGUGGCUUUCACUUCGGUGAAAGUGUUUAUAGCCUUUGGCUUCUAGCAAUCGGAGAGAUUGAGGUCUGCAGCGUAGAUCCUUCGGGGUUAGAUACGUAGAUGCUAAGUUAUAGUUUUUCAUAGACAACUUGUUGACUAUGAUUAAUCAUGUAGCUUACUCGUUUGACGCUAUUUUACCUACGCUUAGGAUGUUGAAUCUGUGCGAGACUAC
This 778-nucleotide ribosomal RNA is filed under the name uncultured Neocallimastigales. Its description in RNAcentral is "partial large subunit ribosomal RNA". It matches the Rfam family "Eukaryotic large subunit ribosomal RNA", at positions 24 to 644 of the family's 3401-position model. The record is from RNAcentral. Lineage: Eukaryota; Fungi; Neocallimastigomycota; Neocallimastigomycetes; Neocallimastigales.